AUGAUUUCUUUUUCAGGGCAUAGUUUUGGAGCAAGCUCACACUAUUUUUUUGUUGAUGUGAUUAUUAGGUUCAGGCUAUUUGUUCUACAUCAUCAUUGGUUUGAUUUUUAUUGGUCUGCCUUACUUCUUGUUGUAGUACCUCCAAACAGAGUUUUAGUGUCUCUAUGUUUGCAUUCAGGGUCAAUCAAAACAGUAAAAAUUCAUAGGCCCGUGAAGUUUCUCUCAAUUCUUCUUUUUUGGUAUCUGGACCUUUUUUUGUCCCUUCACACAUCUGAAGAACUCGACAUGUACCACGAGACGGGCGGCCACGUUGUUCUCCAGUUGUGA
This 327-nucleotide ribosomal RNA is filed under the name Triticum aestivum (bread wheat). Its description in RNAcentral is "partial small subunit ribosomal RNA". Lineage: Eukaryota; Viridiplantae; Streptophyta; Magnoliopsida; Poales; Poaceae. The record is from RNAcentral.